Haemorhous mexicanus (house finch) is the source of this 2058-nucleotide long non-coding RNA. RefSeq lists it as uncharacterized. NCBI's taxonomy places the organism in Eukaryota, Metazoa, Chordata, Aves, Passeriformes, Fringillidae. The record is from RefSeq and is a predicted model, not a curated record. The transcript is spliced from 3 exons.
CACCCUCCUCCUCACUGCCCAUCAACACCGCUCCUCCCAUCCCUCAAUGCAUCCUUCCCGGGCUCCUCCCUGGUGCCCUGCCUGUCACUCGGCGCCCCCUCCCUUCCCUCUAGAAAGUUCCAGCUGGGGCGUCGGGUGAUUGGCUCAGGGGCCAGGUUUCUGCCCCCCCAUGUUCCCUUAUUGGAUGUUCCUCAUUGUCACUCCCUCAGAGGCCGAACCCCUCUCUGCUCCCCAUUGGCCCAAGGACUGUCUCCACCCUCAUUUCUGGUGCCCCUCAAAGGCUGGUGUAAGCCGGAUUUGUGCUUUGUCUCCAGCUGUAGCAGCACAACACAGCAACCCUAACAGCGAGACCAGAGCGGAACCCUCCUGGUGGGACAAGACAGCAAUCCUCUCACCAGGACAACAACAGAACUCUCAGCAGACAACAAGAUCUACUGCAAAAAGGUGAGUUUUGCUGUAUGCUACACUGAGCCCAGUGAGAAGAAGAGGGGGGCACUGUGCCCUUUUUGCAACUGUAGUCUUGGAAGCUGUUCCCACCUCUCGGCCUGGCUGGACUUCUCCUUAGAUUUGGAGUGGUCCCCCACAGAAGACCCUUCUCACUGGUUUGCAACUACUGUGACAGACAGACUGAAAUGUGAGAAGCCUCUCCAUCUAAGACCAAGACGUGAAACCCCCUAUGUGAAAAGGCCCCCUCGCUCUUUCCAAGGACUGUGACUGAAACCCCUAACCCAGGGGAGGUGUGUGGGGGAGGCAAGCUAACCAAAACGAGAUGUUUGCCUUCAGGUUGUGACCACUGGACCAAGAAGACAGUGGCUCUCGCUUACUGCUGAGAACAUGGGCUACCUGUGUCAUGGUUUGAGGGGAAAUGGUUUUUUUGGGAUGGUGUGGUCAUGCCAGUCGGUGUCCAGAUUUUAAUAUUGGCACCUGGUUUGUCCACUGAGGGCAUAGAUACACCGCUGAGAACACAGGGGGUUAAAAGCUGUGAACUCCCAGGGGAAGUUCCUUUUGAGUUCCGGCUCUGGACGAGAGGAGACCUCUCCCCUGUCCAGCUCUGAGCUGGGCAGGGGGUAGGGGAGCCAUGGGAGGUAGGCCAGGCCGAAGGGAGGUAGGCCAGGCCUGGGCCGAAGGGUGGAGGAGCAUUGCACUGCGAGGGCUUCGGGCAGCCAUCCCCCAUUCCCCCCCCGGAGGAAGAGAGAGAGAGCAGACUGUGCUUGUGAUAGCGCGGCUGGAGUGAAGGAGAAGGGCGGGGUGCCCAGCAAGGCAGCCAGCCGUGGGAGUUCAUGAACCAAACUGGCAGAGCCUGGGACUUUUAACCCUUCUUGGGAUGAUGGAAACCUUGCAAAUGCUGAUUCCUCCUGGAGUUGGUGAGAUUGAGAGAAGUUGAGAAGAAUUCUAGGUGGGAGGAGAUGAUGGAGUGGCUUUUGGCUGGACUUUUCUUGGAUAGCUAUGGACAGAACCCUUGAGUUCCUGUGACACAGAGACUGCAUCCUAGGGGGAGGCAAUGGCUCAGAGCCAGGAGAGUGCGGUGAUGUGAAGGUGUGUGAACAGAGACGAUGGGUGAGGAGGGUGGUGGUGGUGCCCUCCGUCUUCGAAGAAGAAGAAGAGGAAGAUGAUCUCUGUUCAAGAGACCCCUCAGCCCCAGGGGGUGAAACAUGGGGGGGACAGGUGUCCCAAAAGGAAAGGGACUGUGCUCUUUUUUGGAACUGGACAAAGCAUCCUUAAAGGGAAAAAACCCUAGAAGCAGCUCUGGUCCAUAUGCAGUGGUGAGAGCACUGGACGUGGAAGGAAGAGGUCACGAUGGCAAAAUGUUCUCCGGGCGGUGCCACACGUGACACAGAAACACGAGAAGUUUCGACUGUUUCCUGGGUGAAGUCUGUGGUGCAAGAGGGACUCCUCUCUUCUCAAAGAAUUGAGAAUUGAUUAUCCAGAGGGUGGUAACGAAAUUAGGAAAUUUGGUGGGGGGAGGAGGAGGAAAUUUGGAAGGUUUUCAUCCCGUGUUCUGUGUGUUUUUUCCCUGUAGUUUUAUGUUAAUAAAGUUUUUUUUUCUUUCAGUCGUAA